Molecule: long non-coding RNA, 2512 nt
Filed under: Gallus gallus (chicken)
Lineage: Eukaryota; Metazoa; Chordata; Aves; Galliformes; Phasianidae
Description: lncRNA (ENSGALG00010019258.1)
Source: RNAcentral
GAUCUGGGUUGCUUGCUGAGGAGUGCUGCACAGUCAGGAGCCUCUUCACCAGCUGGAGAUGUGAGAUAGAUCCCUGGUUGACUCUACUCGCACCCUGCCUGCUUGGACUUAUGCUGGUUGUCAAAAUGAAAAAGCCUGGGGAAACCAGUGAAUUAUGAACGUGAGAGGCAGCUCCUCCAGACUUCUCUGCAAAGAAAACUGCCCAAGUUGUUACAGAUGGGGACACCAGCUACCUGAUCCCUGAAACGCCAAAGUCUUGCUGCAUGUCAUGACAGCAGAUGCUGGCAUGGGUUGUACCUUACUAUAGGAGUCUCUUCAGAGCAGUCAUUCUGCAGACAGAUAUCUGCUCCAAAGAACAAUUGAUGGGACCUGAGGUGCCCUGCAGGCUGCACUGAAAUCACUGGGUGCUGUGAGCAAUCACCAUCCUUUGAAAAGUCUGAAACUGAGCAUUCUGAGUAGAAUUCUGCAUUUUGCCAGAUCCUGCUGGGAAACAGCUGUGUUUAUACUUUGCACAUCUGUCAGAGCAGGCUGCUGAGAUCUCCAGAUCUGAGGACUGUCCCAGCUGAUUUAGCUCCUGGACACCUUUAGCUUCUGUCAUGGAUUCCUGCUUAUGAAUAGAUAAAACAGUGUACUGAAAGCUGCUGGGCAAAACUGUUGUGCUGAAUCCUUGGCAAGUUUCAGAAAGACAAACGCGAUGUUGUCAGACCAUCACCCAGUACAGUUGCAGUCACUCAACAGGCCAAAAGCAAGAUCCUGAUCUUGGGCAUCUCAGGAGCUGGACAUGAUGGCCCUGGGGAGUUCCUUCCAUCUCAGGAUAAUCUGAUUGCUGAACUGCUACUUACAGCUUUUCACAGCCUUCCUACUUGUUCUUGUUCAGUGCGUCUGUUUGAAAGUGUCUUGAAGAUGAAGUUAUUUCCUGGAGGAAUUCUGAAGGCAACAAGAAGCAUUUUCUCAAGGAGGGAAAAAAAAAAAACCAAACCCUGGAGUGACUUGUGCCUAAAUCCUGGAGCAGAACAGAGUGGCAGCCAGGGCUGCUUACCAGGACAGCAUUUUUGCCUUUUUGUCUCUCUGGGGAUUCUCAAGUAGGAAAGAAAACUGUGGUGUUACUGCUGGGAGGAUUUUUCCUGAUCCUGAGGGAAUCCAUUCUGGAAGCUUGAUCCAAAUGACAGCUGCCUCCAAUUACCACUCUACACAUUGCUGUGGUUAUUUGGUUACAAUCAAGACUGGAGGCUUGAUGACAGCUAGAAGUACCAGCAAGGAAACCUCAGAUGGUUCAGGCUACAGCAGCAUGGGUGCAGGACAACCUGGAUGAAAGUCAGCAGAACAUCUACAGGGCUAAUUAGGACCAUGACCUUGAAAAGGCAUUUUCCAGUACUGUUCACUUAGGUUGAAGCUAGAGACAGAGGAAGGUAUGCACUUCCCAUUAUGAGUGCUACUCCUAAGUUUUCCAACAGGUGCCAAGUAUGGUGGCUUUGAAAUGUAUUUUGGAGAGCUGACAAAGUGGUUAAAGCAGAUAAUUCAUAACAGGCUGUACUAAGACCAAAAAAACCCCACCAACUGGAGUGGUCAUUAAUUUGUGAGGUGAGCAGGCAGCACUCACCAAGCAAGUGGUGCACUGCCUGUUUCCCAGCCUGCCUCCAAACAUCUGCGCGCCUCAGAAGCAAGUGUAAUGUUAUUCUCCCAAGGUGACCCCCUGCUCUGCACUGCAGGAGAAUGAUGGUGAUGUUACAGGCUGGAAUGGAGUAGCAGAAGGUGAGUUGUUUGAAGGUGAAAUCCCAUACUUAUCUACUGCCGUGCUUUCUUUGUGAGGACCUGCAAACCCAUGGGGUGGUCUUUCUCUUUUCAUUCCUCUGCCUGUAUGCUUGGCUGAACCCCAGUGACUGAGCUGCAAGAAAGACCUUACAGUCUGCUGGGAUGGAGGAGCAUCCAGAGAGCCUGGGAGACACCCAAUGUCCCCAGGCACUGAUGUACCCUCUCUAAUACCCACAGAUGAUUCAAGCAAGGCUCAUCUUUCCCCCAACUUCUGAAAUAGCCAUGGGAGCCCUUCAUGGCAAGCUGCCCAUGGCAGGAACCAGUCAGAACCUGCUUCUCCCUGAUGGAAGCCAUCAAGGAAGAGAUGAACAGGAGACUUUGUAAAUGUCUUUAUAACAUGGAAAGCUUUGGAUUUAUGGUGAUAAAUAAUGUUUUCCGCAGUAUGCAUCAACCUGAUUAAUUUCUUUCUAAAUUUAUAGCUUGUGUGUCCUUUAAUCUAUCUUGUGCCAUAGCAACAAUAACAAGCUGAUUGCUGUACCAUUUCAAUCAGCAUCAGUGGCAGUGAGCAGAUGUAUCACUGCCUCAACAAUAGCAUAGGUUUCGUUUCUGAAAAACAUUACUUAGGGCUUUUACUCCAGUUGCAGACGUUAUCUUUUUGUUUUCUGAACUUCUGGUGAAGGAGAACUAACAGUGCUAUAUAAUGCUUUGUGUUUAAUGGAUCUUGUGGUAAGAAGGAUUGAAAAGCAAUACAAGCAGAAAG